ACCAGGUGUGGUGAUGCACGCCUUUCGUCCCAGCUACUUGGGAGGCUGAGGCAGGAGGAUCGCUUGAGCCCUGGAGUUCAAGGCUGCGGUGAGCUAUGAUCACACCACUGCACUCCAGCCUGGGCAAUAGAGUGAGACCCUGCCUCAU
Molecule: non-coding RNA, 148 nt
Filed under: Pan paniscus (pygmy chimpanzee)
Lineage: Eukaryota; Metazoa; Chordata; Mammalia; Primates; Hominidae
Also listed under: 1 other name
Source: Rfam by way of RNAcentral